Gossypium hirsutum (cotton) is the source of this 144-nucleotide non-coding RNA. NCBI's taxonomy places the organism in Eukaryota, Viridiplantae, Streptophyta, Magnoliopsida, Malvales, Malvaceae. The record is from Rfam.
UGUUAAAUUUUUCAUUUAAUUGUAUAAUUAAUAAUUGGCGUGGCUAACAGAAUAACUAGACGGUGGCAUGUGGCAUAUCAUGUGUACUUCAUGUUGACAUAAGUGGAUCAAUUUUCAACCGUAGAAAUGAAUGAAAUUUUAACA